Pundamilia nyererei is the source of this 445-nucleotide long non-coding RNA. RefSeq lists it as uncharacterized. The transcript has 4 exons. Lineage: Eukaryota; Metazoa; Chordata; Actinopteri; Cichliformes; Cichlidae. The record is from RefSeq and is a predicted model, not a curated record.
UAAUUUCUGACCACGUUAUCACAGCUUUCUUUUUGCAAACUGUUUGUUAACACUUAACAAAGACAGUGAACAUGAGGCUGCUGACUUCAUCUCCUGCUGUGGAACUUCACAGUUUAUGUGAAUGAAUUGUGGUUUUAAAGUUCUGCUGCUUAUUGGGAAAUAAUGUUCUCUUCCUCUUGAAUGUAGCAGAGGACCAACCCACUGGGCCUCUCAGUUUCAGAGAGAGACUGUUUGUUAUCAGAGGCUUGUGGAGGUUUGUGCUUCAACUGGGAGUGGUCUACUUAACCGAGUAUUUCAUCAACCAGGGUUUGAUGGAACUCCUGUUCUUCCACAAUAUUUUCCUGACCCAUGCAGCUCAGUAUCGCUGGUAUCAGACUCUGUACCAGCUUGGUGUACUGCUCUCUCGAUCCUCUCUGCACUGUGUGAAGAUCAGGAGAGUGUGGAU